GUGAAGCGGCAAAAGCUCAAAUUUGAAAUCUGGCACUAUUCGUGUCUGAGUUGUAAUUUGGAGAGGCAACUUCAGGUGGGACCCAGUCUAUAUUCCUUGGAACAGGAUGUCAUAGAGGGUGAGAAUCCCGUUCAUGGCUGGAUGUUCCCGUUAGUAUGUAGUGCCUUCUACGAGUCGAGUUGUUUGAGAAUGCAGCUCAAAAUGGGUGGUAAAUUUCAUCUAAAGCUAAAUAUGGGCGAGAGACCGAUAGCGCACAAGUAGAGUGAUCGAAAGAUGAAAAGCACUUUGAAAAUAGAGUCAAAAAGUACGUGAAAUUGUUGAAAGGGAAGCGCUUGAGACCAGACAUAGCCUAUGGCAAACAACUGUCCUUCUGGGUAGUGCACUUGUCAAAGGUUAGGCCAGCAUCAGUUAGGAUGGUGGGAGAAAGACUAGGAGAAUGUGACUCCAAUUUGGAGUGUUAUAGAUCCUGGUGUCAUGCCAUCUGUCCUGACUGUGGACCGCGCUUCGGCUAGGAUGCUGGC
This 521-nucleotide ribosomal RNA is filed under the name Tuber brumale (winter truffle). Its description in RNAcentral is "eukaryotic LSU rRNA". It matches the Rfam family "Eukaryotic large subunit ribosomal RNA", at positions 93 to 630 of the family's 3401-position model. Lineage: Eukaryota; Fungi; Ascomycota; Pezizomycetes; Pezizales; Tuberaceae. The record is from RNAcentral.